UAAUAUGCUUUCUUUUCUUGGAAAUUAUGAUCAUAUGUAUUAAUAAUUUAAUAAAUAAUUUGUUGGCUGUAGGAUUUUGUUCUAGUUAAUGAGAAUAAGAGGGCCAGUAAAUUGGAUUGGCAAUUCGGAAUAUCAUCUAUUUUGAGCAGAAUGUGUGCUAUAGCUGAGAUAGCAUCUUAUCACUGCCUAGGAGUUUCCCAUGAUUAGUUUCUUGGGAUUUACCAGACAAUCUUGCCACUAAAUCCCUUUUUUUAUUGAGAACUCUUUCGUCUAAUUUCAUCCAUGCAUUUAGAAAUUAUUGCCAGAUCAUUAUAUGCUUUGUGGGCCUACAUCCAUAUUUCUUAAGUCUGACAGUAACACUAAGGUGUUUGCCAAUAAAUGCAGUUUGCUCGUUCAUCUCAGCAACUUAUUACACAAUUUAUAGCUGGUCCUAUAUAGUUGAAUUAGAAUCCAUUGCAUGCUUUAUUUAGAAGAAUAUGAAUAGAUGUUUUGUGUCAUGUCAUAUAAGUUUGUGGAUUGUGUUCAGACCUGGACUGUUUGGAAGUGAAGUUGCAAGGGUGCUUGGUGGCGGCGUCGUUCCAGGUUUGUGCAGAUUCACUUUUUGAUGUUUCUACAUGAUUCCUGCUUUAAGAUAUUCCCUUAUGGAAUGACUUCUUUAGUUUUCUGAUUCUUAAUCAGCUUGAAAUUUUUAGGAAUAGUGCAUUAUAAUAUUGAAAUAGGAACUCUAGGUUUUAGUUUAUGCUAAUUCAUUUUUUUUCUUGUUAUAUUAACAAUCUGAAAUUAUCUCGUUAACAUAUGAAUGGAGGUUCGCAGCUAUGCAAGAAGCAAAAUAAUUCCACACCUGAAAGUUACAAUUCUAGGACAAAAAUUUUAGUCUUCAUUUUACUAAGCGUGCAUUUAUUUUAUUAAAUCUGUACUUUUAUUAAUUUUAGUAAUACAGUAAAAC
RNAcentral lists this long non-coding RNA (946 nucleotides) under Ricinus communis (castor bean). RNAcentral describes it as "long non-coding RNA (RCOM_LNC003427)". Lineage: Eukaryota; Viridiplantae; Streptophyta; Magnoliopsida; Malpighiales; Euphorbiaceae. The record is from RNAcentral.